AAACUUAAAUGAAUUGACGGGGCCCGCACAAGCGGUGGAGUAUGUGGUUAAUUCGAUGCAACGCGAAAACCUUACCUGCCCUUGACAUCCUCGGAACUUGUCAGAGAUGACUUGGUGCCUUCGGGAACCGAGAGACAGGUGCUGCAUGGCUGUCGUCAGCUCGUGUCGUGAGAUGUUGGGUUAAGUCCCGUAACGAGCGCAACCCUUGUCAUUAGUUGCCAUCAUUUGGUUGGGCACUCUAAUGAGACUGCCGGUGACAAACCGGAGGAAGGUGGGGAUGACGUCAAGUCCUCAUGGCCCUUAUGGGUAGGGCUUCACACGUCAUACAAUGGUCGGUACAGAGGGUUGCCAACCCGCGAGGGGGAGCUAAUCCCACAAAGCCGAUCGUAGUCCGGAUCGCAGUCUGCAACUCGACUGCGUGAAGUCGGAAUCGCUAGUAAUCGUGGAUCAGCAUGUCACGGUGAAUACGUUCCCGGGUCUU
RNAcentral lists this ribosomal RNA (481 nucleotides) under uncultured Azovibrio sp. RNAcentral describes it as "bacterial SSU rRNA". It matches the Rfam family "Bacterial small subunit ribosomal RNA", at positions 897 to 1382 of the family's 1533-position model. Lineage: Bacteria; Pseudomonadati; Pseudomonadota; Betaproteobacteria; Rhodocyclales; Rhodocyclaceae. The record is from RNAcentral.